Molecule: long non-coding RNA, 838 nt
Filed under: Ananas comosus (pineapple)
Lineage: Eukaryota; Viridiplantae; Streptophyta; Magnoliopsida; Poales; Bromeliaceae
Description: long non-coding RNA (ACOM_LNC025502)
Source: RNAcentral
CAUUAAUUCUUCAAAAGAUUAAUUUCAUAUAUGUCCCUGCAAAUAUAGUAAAUGACAAAUAUAUUUCUAUAAAAUACAACUUUUAUAUAUUGUUUUUGUAAAAGUCCUGAUGUUUUAUAUAUGUCUCUACCGUCAGAAUUCGUUAGAAACAUUUAGUUAACCAUAGAUUUAAUACUUAACUCUGUUUAGUUUUUGAUAUUUUUAUUCCUCUUAUAUUAUAUUUUUAUGACUUUUGGAGGGACAUAUUUAUGAUGAUAAAAUUAAAAAUAUAAACAGUUAUCUAACAGUAACAAAUCAGAGAGACAUAUUUGAAAAUAUUAGGACUUAGAAAUAUAUUUGUCAUUUACUAUAUUUACAUGGAUCUGUAUAAAAUUAACCCUUCUUCAAAAGUCCCUGCUCCUCCUCAUAGAGGUUUCAUUCAAUUGGUUUAAAAAUAAAGUCGAACAUGAAAUUUUUGGGAUUAAGAUAAAAAUUAAAUAAAAACGAACAUAACUUAAGCUAUGGAUUAUUUUAAAUCGACUAUCCAAACUUUCAAAAUUGUGAUUUUACCGCUCAUCCUUUCAAUUUGUUUGAUUUAAGUCAGUCAGCGGUACUUUGACUUUAAAGUUUAAAUACGUUGUUAUUUUUACAGAUUUAGUUAGCAUACUUCAUAUAAUUUUUAUAACUAAAAAUUUAUUGAAAUAAGUAAUAUUAGCUUAAAUUUUAGAAUUAAAGUGCUAUUGACUGACUAAAAUCAAAUAAAUUAAAAAUUUGUUAGUAAAAUCAAAAUUUUAAUGUUAGGUAGUUGAUUUAAGAUGAUCCAUAGUUCAUAUAUGUUUUGUACGUUUUCGCCUAAAAA